RNAcentral lists this ribosomal RNA (106 nucleotides) under Otolemur garnettii (small-eared galago). Lineage: Eukaryota; Metazoa; Chordata; Mammalia; Primates; Galagidae. The record is from RNAcentral.
GUCUAUGGCCAUACCACCCCGUACGCUCCCCAUCUCGCCUGAUCUCCGAAGCUAAGCAGGGUCGGGCCUGGUUAGUACUUGGGUGGGAGAAUUGGUGCUGGUGGUG